AACGAACGCUGGCGGCAGGCCUAACACAUGCAAGUCGAGCGGGACCUUCGGGUCUAGCGGCGGACGGGUUAGUAACGCGUGGGAACGUGCCCAAAGGUACGGAAUAGCCUCGGGAAACUGAGAGUAAUACCGUAUGUGCCCCUCGGGGGAAAGAUUUAUCGCCUUUGGAUCGGCCCGCGUUUGGAUUAGGUAGUUGGUGGGGUAAUGGCCUACCAAGCCGACGAUCCAUAGCUGGUUUGAGAGGAUGAUCAGCAACACUGGGACUGAGACACGGCCCAGACUCCUACGGGAGGCAGCAGUGGGGAAUCUUAGACAAUGGGGGAAACCCUGAUCUAGCCAUGCCGCGUGAGCGAUGAAGGCCUUAGGGUUGUAAAGGCUCUUUCAGAUGGGAAGAUAAUGACGGUACCAUCAGAGAAGCCCCGGCUAACUCCGUG
RNAcentral lists this ribosomal RNA (434 nucleotides) under uncultured bacterium. Its description in RNAcentral is "bacterial SSU rRNA". It matches the Rfam family "Bacterial small subunit ribosomal RNA", at positions 29 to 507 of the family's 1533-position model. The record is from RNAcentral.